Schizosaccharomyces pombe (fission yeast) is the source of this 2430-nucleotide non-coding RNA. NCBI's taxonomy places the organism in Eukaryota, Fungi, Ascomycota, Schizosaccharomycetes, Schizosaccharomycetales, Schizosaccharomycetaceae. The record is from the annotation of a GenBank genome assembly.
GGUAGUGAGGAGCAACCGCAUUAAGCCAGUUACUCCGAAUAGAACUAACUCCACGAACAUAAGAUUUCGUAGUAAAUACCUGAAUGAUUAGAUUAAAAAAAAUUUGAAACAAUGACACUUACCAAUUCGUGGUACAUUAUUGCCUCAACUUUCUUUCCGAACAAGGAAGAAGAGGGGUGAAUUGAAAUGGUCUAAUUUGGAUUAGAAAGGUUUGGCAGGAUUAAUUACAUAUACAUGCAACAUGUAUUUGUAUGUCAUUAAAGAGAAAACUUACCUGAUUGCCUAUAAUAGUUCGAUAAGAACCGUCAGGAUGUAGUAAAGCUGUAUUUGUAAUGUACCCUGACAAGAAAGAGAGAAGGAGAUUUUCGGAGUUGACUUCGGGAGAAGAAUUAAGCUCCCACCCAUCCUUUAAACAAUGCUCGCGUAAUUGCUUACGAAUAUCCAAAAUAGUUUUUAAAGCACGUCGAUUGAUAAAGUUUUGAGAGCACCAUUGCUUGCGUGAAUCGUGACUGGAUUCCAGAUAUUGCCUCAAUGCAUUUAAACAAGUAAGAAGAUCCCCUUCAGAAUGCAAAAAUUUAAGUCUAGCCUCAAUGGCUUCGUCUCGCUUUUCUUGAGGGAAUAGAAACAUGGAAUCCGUAGAAAGACAUGAAACUACGUCUAUUACUUCGGAUAAGCAAUUAUGCUCUCGUGCAGCAAGUACUGCCCGUGCUAAUGAAGGAAGAAGGGGAAUUAAAGACAUUUGAUAACCCAAAUCAUUAAUAUGACCAUUGUCAUCUAAUGCACCUAUCGAAUAGAGAUGUUCCAAAGCACGAAGCAGACCUUCUUUGGAAGGUGGAUCCAUAUAAUGGAAAUUUAUUACAUCGUUUUGGCCGCGAGCCUUUAAGGUAAGGACAGCCUGAGAAAGGUCUAUGCGCUUAAUUUCGGGAAUAGUCUCCUUAGGAAGUUUAUCAAAAUCAGCUUCGGUAUAAAUCCUAUAACAUUGACCAGCAGCUUCACGACCAGCACGUCCAGAACGUUGCAUAGCAGCUGAUUGGGAGAUAGGCUGAACAGUUAAACUUUCGAGGCCAAGCUUACUAUUAAAUUGUUUAAUUUUCGCCAAGCCCGUAUCAAUAACAUAACGGAUUCCGGAUAUUGUAACAGAAGUUUCAGCAAUAUUAGUAGACAAUACAACCUUUCUAUGAUUAGCUAAAGCAGGCAAGAACACUUGAAGCUGUUGCUCCUGUGGAAGGCUGGCAAACAAUGGACAAGCUUGAAUUUGUGGAAGAUUGGAUGGUAACUGUUUAGAAUAACUUUUAAUUAACGCUUCCAAUGCCUCAAUCUCAUCCUGGCCAGUUAAAAAAACUAGAAUAUCGCCAGGAGGCAACUUAGUAUGAAGUUGGAAAAUUGUACGUAAGCAAGCAUCAAGAUAGUCGGGUUCAGGAGUGUAAGUAUAGUGAAUUUGCACAGGGUACUGGCGGCCACUAAUGUAACAAAUCUCGGCGCCAUCAAAAAACUCGGAAAACCUUUCCGCAUUUAAAGUAGCACUCAUGAUGAUUACCCUCAAUGCAGGUCUCUUUUUAAUAAUUUUUUUGACAAAGCCAAGUAGCAUGUCAGUCAUUAACGUGCGUUCAUGAGCUUCGUCAAGAAUCAACGUGUGGUAUUGAGAAAGUAUUGGAUCAUUAAUAAGCUCCCGCAAAAGCAUACCAUCUGUUAAGUAUUUUAUCCUUGUUUUUUUACUGGUAGUAUCAUCAAACCUAAUUGAAUAACCCACCUGUUCACCUAAACGACAGCCUUGUUCCGCAGCUACGCGCUUGGCCAAAUUGACAGCAGCAACACGUCUUGGCUGAGUUAUAGCAACACAUCCUUCUUGGGCAUAAGGACAUUCGUUUAGGAAUUGCGGAAUCUGAGUAGAUUUUCCUGAGCCAGUCUCUCCGACUACCACAAUAACUCGAUUGUCUUGAAUUUGCUGGCACAAAGUAUCAUGUGCCUCCCAAAUUGGUAAGUUUUUCCUUUGUUCCAAGAUAUCUUUUCUUUUUGAAGGCGAGUUUUCAGAUCGUUUUUCAGGUGAACUAUUGUCUGAACCGACUACCUCGUUCGCUCCAAAAUCUGUAUCUUGUUCUAAAAAGUUUACAACCGAAACUGUUGAUUUUUUUGUUGUGUUUUUCGAAGCUUUCCUGUUCUUUUUUUUAUUUGGAGCUUUAAUCCGUUGGCCCCCAACCAACCCAUCAGUUAAGUUUUGUUUUGUAAUUGAACCGCCAUUUCUCAAUUUUCCACUGACUUUUACCAUUUUUACCUAACUUAUUAAACAAAACCAAAAAUUCCCCCAACCUAGUAAAACCACAUAAAAAAUAACCUAUUGCCGACGAGGUGCGUCGCUUGUUGUUUGCAAGAAAUUCUUUUGCUGUAUACCUCGAAAGCACAGGUGAGGGUGGAGCAUUAAAAGUAUACGGA